This is a long non-coding RNA of Ipomoea triloba (trilobed morning glory), 930 nucleotides long. RefSeq lists it as uncharacterized. The transcript has 2 exons. NCBI's taxonomy places the organism in Eukaryota, Viridiplantae, Streptophyta, Magnoliopsida, Solanales, Convolvulaceae. The record is from RefSeq and is a predicted model, not a curated record.
CCCUCUACUCAAUGAUCAUACAUAACUAUAUGCAAUUAGGUUUGGAAAAAAAAAAAAACAUUGUUAUGUAUCUAUUAACCAUUAUCAUUGAUCAAAAAAACACUUCUAUUUGACUUGCUUGCUUGCAACUGAAAACCUUUGAUGAUUCGUGCUUGUAAAUGCAAUCUUUAUAUGUAUUCCUUUUUCUUCUUUUUUUAAUCCCAUAAAUAAGUUAAUGUUUUUCCCAUAUUGGAAGGCAGCCCCAAAAAAAAUAAAAUUAAGGGCCAUGAAAAUUACCUGGAUCUAUCUUUGCUUUGCUUAGCUUCAAAAUGAAUAGGAUCUGAGAUGAAGAGUCAACACAAACUUGGUUUAAAAACACCAGAAACUACAAAUAGAAGUGUAUACCUUUCCUAUGUGCUCUGGCAACGACUGUGGAGUAAGUUCUUGACGUUCUCCCUGGGCAAGCUUCCUCUCCGGAGGCAAAAUAAGAAUAGAGAGCAAAUCAUUAAAUCCUAUUAAUGAAGAUUAAUGAUAUAAAAAAAAAAAAAAAAAGCUUACCUUUUCGUGGAAGACUACCACUUUGCUCUUAAUUUCAGAAGAGCCUUUCCGUGGAAGGAACCUCUUUGCUCUUGAAGGUAGAUAAAUUAUUGGCGAGGUAGUGCAUUCCCAUGGUCGAAAGCAAAAAUGCAAAGCAGAAAUUUGGAGAAUGAUAGUUAACCUGUAAUAUAUAGUGUGUGUAAUAGAUGUCUUAGAGUGAAAGAGUUCUAUGUAUAUUAAAUAGUUUUGAAUUCCCGGUGAGAGUGAAAGACUUCUAUAAUCUUUUCCUUGAUUCUCGAAUCGUUUUUGACGAUUCGAUUUCCUAAGUUUUGACGAUAAAUGCAUUCAUACUGCAAAGCCUGAUGUAUGACAAUGUAUUUAAUGCAAUCGAAUUCCCCAAAAAAAUUAACAAAA